This 448-nucleotide unclassified non-coding RNA is filed under the name Hevea brasiliensis (rubber tree). Lineage: Eukaryota; Viridiplantae; Streptophyta; Magnoliopsida; Malpighiales; Euphorbiaceae. The record is from RNAcentral.
GCUUUGCAAAACUUGUUGCCUACAACCCCCAGUCCCAAUUAAAAGGUGGGGAUCUCCAGGUUCUUCCAAAGCACCGUGUAGCCAUUAGGCUGCCUCACCAAGUAAAUUGAUAAAACAAACGUGAUAAAAUGCAUUUCACGCUUCAGAAAUGUCCCAUCUUGAUACUUUUUAUUAUAUUUUGUUCCCAUGUUUCAAAAGAAAGGCCCUGACCAACCAUAGCUCUUCCGUCAAAUAAAACCAUCAAAUCCAUACAUCUUAGUUUUGGUACAUGAUAAACGCAUAAUUUUACUCACUAAUAACCUUGAAUUAUCAUCUGUUUCUAAGAAAUCUGUUGGAAUCCGAUAUCGAAAGAAUAUAAAGUAAAAGAGUAAUAUAUAAGUGAUUAGGUUGCAACAUUGACUUGAUUAGUUAUCUUGAUGUGUCAAGCAAUCUAAUAACUUAUAUAAGC